CCUACGGGAGGCUGCAGUGAGGAAUAUUGGUCAAUGGACGCAAGUCUGAACCAGCCAAGCCGCGUGCAGGACGACGGCUCUAUGAGUUGUAAACUUCUUUUGUACAGGGAUAAAUUCCGGCACGUGUGUCUGUUUGAAAGUACUUUACGAAUAAGGAUCGGCUAACUCCGUGCCAGCAGCCGCGGUAAUACGGAGGAUGCAAGCGUUAUCCGGAUUUAUUGGGUUUAAAGGGUGCGUAGGCGGUUCGUUAAGUUAGAUGUGAAAGGCCGGGGCUCAACCCCGGCAAUGCCUUUGAUACUGGCGGGCUAGAGUUUAGGUGCGGUAGGCGGAAUGUGUGGUGUAGCGGUGAAAUGCUUAGAGAUCACGCAGAACACCGAUUGCGAAGGCAGCAUACCAAACUACGACUGACGUUGAGGCACGAAAGCGUGGGGAGCAAACAGGAUUAGAUACCCGGGUAGUC
This 460-nucleotide ribosomal RNA is filed under the name uncultured bacterium. Its description in RNAcentral is "partial 16S ribosomal RNA". It matches the Rfam family "Bacterial small subunit ribosomal RNA", at positions 338 to 795 of the family's 1533-position model. The record is from RNAcentral.